UUCCUUUGAUAUAAGUAAAAGGUGGUCCCUGCCCUAUGCAACUAGACUAACGUUUGUUGUAAAUGGCGGCGUUAACGUGAGCGUCCUAAGGUAGCGCGAUAAUUUGCUUUUUAAUUGAAGGAUGGUAUGAAAGGGUUAACGAAGAAGAUGCUGUAUCUAAAAAAUUUAAUUUAAACUAACUUUAAGGUGAAGAGGCCUUUAUGUAAAAGAAGGACGACAAGACCCUAUGAAGCUUUAUCUUAAUUGAAGGUUUUAGGCUUUUAUACGAUUUUGAUGGGAGAUCAGUAAAAAUAAGUCUUUUACUAUAACGUUAAUCUUACUAGAAUUUACUAAUUUUAUAUGUGUGAUUAGCUACUCUAGGGAUAACAGCGCAAUUUCCCCCGAAAGAUGGUAUUGGAGGGGAAGAUUGCGACCUCGAUGUUGGCUUAGGUGUCCUAGAGGUGUAGAAGCCUCUAAUGGUAGGUCUGUUCGCCCUUUAAAAUCUA
Molecule: ribosomal RNA, 485 nt
Filed under: Meretrix meretrix (Asiatic hard clam)
Lineage: Eukaryota; Metazoa; Mollusca; Bivalvia; Venerida; Veneridae
Description: partial 16S ribosomal RNA
Rfam family: Bacterial large subunit ribosomal RNA
Source: RNAcentral